Long non-coding RNA from Peromyscus eremicus (cactus mouse), 635 nucleotides. RefSeq lists it as uncharacterized. NCBI's taxonomy places the organism in Eukaryota, Metazoa, Chordata, Mammalia, Rodentia, Cricetidae. The record is from RefSeq and is a predicted model, not a curated record. The transcript is spliced from 3 exons.
AGGAAGCACUACCAGUAGCUGAGACAUUAUGAGUGUCCAAAGUAACUGAUUGUCAUGACUGCAAGGAGACAUCAAAAUAUGUUCUGGCCACUCCUCUGAAUGUUCUGUACCUAUGGAAAAUGCUAAUCAUGGUGAAUGAGGCCUUUGCCAUCAGGAGAAAGUUCAAUGGUUGGUUCCUUCUUGUUGGGAUACCACUGACGGAUGCAGAGAAGGGAACUGAGAGCCAACGCCCUUCCUUCACCACUCAUGUGUAGACUCACUGGCACAACCAGAUGGAGAGGAACAGCUUCAGCUAUGUCUGUGAAAGUGUCCUCAUGCAUCAUCUCAAGUGGAGACCUUGAGCCAGCCUGCCCACUGGAGUCUCCAGAGCUCUAGAUUCCAGUUUACCUUCCUGUUGCUCCAAGCCUGCUCCUUUGAGUGGUUCAAUAGAGCUUACCGGAGAUGAUGCACAACACAGCAAAACACAACACAGCAAGACACAACGCAGGAGGUACUUCAACUUUGACUAUAGCAUCACUCAUCAUCAAAUCUUCAGGACAUAAUUCAAGGUUCCCUUGCUUUCUAAAAUCUUAAGUGUCAUUAAAUGUAUGUCCACAUCCAUUCAAAUCUGAAAAUUAAACUCUGAUUUGACCUCA